Molecule: ribosomal RNA, 759 nt
Filed under: uncultured Prevotella sp.
Lineage: Bacteria; Pseudomonadati; Bacteroidota; Bacteroidia; Bacteroidales; Prevotellaceae
Description: bacterial SSU rRNA
Rfam family: Bacterial small subunit ribosomal RNA
Source: RNAcentral
GAUGAACGCUAGCUACAGGCUUAACACAUGCAAGUCGCAGGGUAACAUGAGGAAAGCUUGCUUUCCUUGAUGACGACUGGCGCACGGGUGAGUAACGCGUAUCCAACCUUCCCAUAACUACGGGAUAACCCGUUGAAAGACGGCCUAAUACCGUAUGAUAUCGUUUGCUGACAUCAAAUAACGAUUAAAGGUUUAGCGGUUAUGGAUGGGGAUGCGUCUGAUUAGCUUGUUGGCGGGGUAACGGCCCACCAAGGCGACGAUCAGUAGGGGUUCUGAGAGGAAGGUCCCCCACAUUGGAACUGAGACACGGUCCAAACUCCUACGGGAGGCAGCAGUGAGGAAUAUUGGUCAAUGGGCGAGAGCCUGAACCAGCCAAGUAGCGUGCAGGAUGACGGCCCUAUGGGUUGUAAACUGCUUUUAUGUGGGGAUAAAGUGCGUGACGUGUCAUGCAUUGCAGGUACCACAUGAAUAAGGGCCGGCUAAUUCCGUGCCAGCAGCCGCGGUAAUACGGAAGGUCCGGGCGUUAUCCGGAUUUAUUGGGUUUAAAGGGAGCGUAGGCUGUCUAUUAAGCGUGUUGUGAAAUAUACCGGCUCAACCGGUGGCUUGCAGCGCGAACUGGUCGACUUGAGUAUGCAGGAAGUAGGCGGAAUUCAUGGUGUAGCGGUGAAAUGCUUAGAUAUCAUGACGAACUCCGAUUGCGCAGGCAGCUUACUGUAGCAUAACUGACGCUGAUGCUCGAAAGUGCGGGUAUCAAACAGG